AGCGAACGCUGGCGGCAGGCUUAACACAUGCAAGUCGAGCGGGCACUUCGGUGUCAGCGGCAGACGGGUGAGUAACACGUGGGAACGUACCCUUUGGUUCGGAAUAACGCUGGGAAACUAGCGCUAAUACCGGAUACGCCCUUUUGGGGAAAGGCUUGCUGCCGAAGGAUCGGCCCGCGUCUGAUUAGCUAGUUGGUGGGGUAAUGGCCUACCAAGGCGACGAUCAGUAGCUGGUCUGAGAGGCUGAUCAGCCACACUGGGACUGAGACACGGCCCAGACUCCUACGGGAAGGAGGAGUGGGGAAUAGUGGACAAUGGGCGCAAGCAUGAUCCAGCCAUGCCGGGUGAGUGAUGAAGGCAGUAGGGUUGUAAAGCUCUUUUGUCCGGGACGAUAAUGACGGUACCGGAAGAAUAAGCCCCGGCUAACUUCGUG
RNAcentral lists this ribosomal RNA (433 nucleotides) under uncultured bacterium. RNAcentral's name for it is "partial 16S ribosomal RNA". It matches the Rfam family "Bacterial small subunit ribosomal RNA", at positions 29 to 507 of the family's 1533-position model. The record is from RNAcentral.